RNAcentral lists this non-coding RNA (183 nucleotides) under human gut metagenome. RNAcentral describes it as "6S / SsrS RNA". It matches the Rfam family "6S / SsrS RNA". Rfam says of the family: E. coli 6S RNA was the first non coding RNA to be sequenced, but its function was unknown until recently. The record is from RNAcentral.
UCCCUGCGGUGUGCGUGAUAUAGCGAUUUUUCAUUUACCAACACUUUUUAUACGGGAAUUCGGACUUCGUGCGCGGCGCAUACGCCCCCCAUUUAUAUGGCCAGGGGAAAUGUAAAACGCAUGAGAGAAUACCCACCUGCAUAUGCAGGUAAAAAUUAAUCCUACACACGGCACAGUGGGGCU